GACGAACGCUGGCGGCGUGCUUAACACAUGCAAGUCGAACGGUGAAGCGCCUUCCUUUUUGGUGGGUGUGGAUGAGUGGCGAACGGGUGAGUAACACGUGAGUAACCUGCCCCCUUCUUCUGGAUAACCGCAUGAAAGUGUGGCUAAUACGGGAUAUUCUGGGUCUGUCGCAUGAUGGGUCUGGGAAAGAUAUUGUUUCGGUGGGGGAUGGGCUCGCGGCCUAUCAGCUUGUUGGUGGGGUGAUGGCCUACCAAGGCGGUGACGGGUAGCCGGCCUGAGGGGGUGGACGGUCACACUGGGACUGAGACACGGCCCAGACUCCUACGGGAGGCAGCAGUGGGGAAUAUUGCACAAUGGGCGCAAGCCUGAUGCAGCGACGCCGCGUGAGGGAUGGAGGCCUGCGGGUUGUGAACCUCUUUCGCCAGUGAAGCAGGCCUGCCUCGUUUGUGGGUGGGUUGACGGUAGCUGGAUAAGAAGCGCCGGCUAACUACGUG
This 494-nucleotide ribosomal RNA is filed under the name uncultured bacterium. Its description in RNAcentral is "partial 16S ribosomal RNA". It matches the Rfam family "Bacterial small subunit ribosomal RNA", at positions 28 to 507 of the family's 1533-position model. The record is from RNAcentral.